RNAcentral lists this long non-coding RNA (721 nucleotides) under Apteryx rowi (Okarito brown kiwi). RNAcentral's name for it is "lncRNA (ENSARWG00000009204.1)". Lineage: Eukaryota; Metazoa; Chordata; Aves; Apterygiformes; Apterygidae. The record is from RNAcentral.
CUGCCUCGUUCCUUGUGCGAGGUCACCAGCCCUGUCACACGGCUCCCAGCUAGUGCACGCUCCAGGGCCGCACAGCUCCUGCCUGCUCCUGAGCACGGCCAGGACACCCCUUUGCUUAGGUGCAGGUGGGAUUAAUUGUAAUCCCCUUGCAUUGGCCCUAAUGACAUUCUCCUGAGUGUCAUUAGCCUUAACUGCAAACUGGGAUGGGCUCUAUAUUACCCACCCCUCCAGGGCCCCCUGGGUCUGGGUGGAAGGAUGGUGCUGCUGGUGCCUGCAGAGAUCCUGUGCCUGGGAGGACCUGCAACGCUGGGAUGUCUGCACAGGGAGAAGGUAUGAGGUGGCCUAGAGACUGUCUGGACUGCAUAAAAAAGGAACAGAGAGUCAUCCUGUAUCAGCUCACACCGAGGAGGAAGGCUGUGGCACUGCAUGAGGAAGGAAGAAUACUACAUCUUACAAAGAUUUCUUUGCUGUGAAUUUAAAGGUAUCUAUUUAAUGUUUGUGUAAAUCCUGCUUGUGUGAAAAGGCAUUGGAGAGAUGUGGGGCUGAGAGGAGGUGCAGCACUCCAAAGCAGAUUCGUCCUAAAGGCAUUUACCCAUUUCAGAACCCCAGACUGCUGAUGACACAAAACUGUUUCAUUACAAGGAYUUGAAUUUACAGAAACUCCCUCUUUCUUACCACCAGCAUUUUGAAAUAAACACAUAACAUGCCAAGGUGAAUCCCA